RNAcentral lists this long non-coding RNA (284 nucleotides) under Sinocyclocheilus rhinocerous. RNAcentral describes it as "lncRNA (ENSSRHG00000022749.1)". The record is from RNAcentral. Lineage: Eukaryota; Metazoa; Chordata; Actinopteri; Cypriniformes; Cyprinidae.
UGCCCGACCAGUUCUACAGUCUUGUGUGGUUCAUCAGUCCAAUUUUAGGAUUCCUUCUGCAACCAAUUCUUGGGGCAUGGAGUGACCGAUGUACGUCUCGCUUUGGCCGCAGGAGACCUUUUAUUUUUGCCCUGGCAAUAGGGGCUCUGCUGGGUCUAACACUGGUGCUGAAUGGACGGGACAUUGGAACGGCUGUGGCGGACACCACCCUGGAUCACAAGUGGGGCAUCGUGCUGACGGUGUGCGGUGUGGUUCUGAUGGACUUCAGUGCCGACUCGGCGGAC